GUGGAAACUAGGCAUGUAGUCUUAGCAGGCAGUGUCUCCCUCCCUUGGUCUCUGUCCACCACCAAGGCUGCUGUGCUGUGGUCACUUAGAAGAAGGGGCCUCCCUCUUUCCUCCAAAUUCUGGGAUGCAAACCUGCUAGACUGGCCUGGCAGGGGGCGGCGUCCACCUCUGGGCGCAGCGCUCCUGCUUCCUGUGCCUUUGGACAUGGUUUGUGGACAAAUGUGGUUUUAGCUGUCUUGGGUUACAGCAUGAACAGGUACAGAGGUUUUCUAGGUCACUGUCUCUGCCUUCCCAGGGGCCUGAGCAUGGGUGUCAUCCCCUUUCCCAAGAAGCACCAUCCCCCAAGGCCAGGGCAGCCCCAUCCUUGCCUUGGUCC
Lutra lutra (Eurasian river otter) is the source of this 376-nucleotide long non-coding RNA. RefSeq lists it as uncharacterized. The record is from RefSeq and is a predicted model, not a curated record. NCBI's taxonomy places the organism in Eukaryota, Metazoa, Chordata, Mammalia, Carnivora, Mustelidae. The transcript has 3 exons.